This 253-nucleotide ribosomal RNA is filed under the name uncultured bacterium. RNAcentral's name for it is "partial 16S ribosomal RNA". It matches the Rfam family "Bacterial small subunit ribosomal RNA", at positions 524 to 776 of the family's 1533-position model. The record is from RNAcentral.
CACGUAGGGGGCAAGCGUUGUCCGGAUUUAUUGGGCGUAAAGGGCGCGUAGGCGGACAUUUAAGUUAGAGGUGAAAGCCCAGGGCUCAACCCUGGAAUAGCCUUUAAUACUGGAUGUCUUGAGUUCGGGAGAGGUGAGUGGAACUCCGAGUGUAGAGGUGAAAUUCGUAGAUAUUCGGAAGAACACCAGUGGCGAAGGCGACUCACUGGCCCGAUACUGACGCUGAGGCGCGAAAGCGUGGGGAGCAAACAGG